RNAcentral lists this unclassified non-coding RNA (237 nucleotides) under uncultured fungus. RNAcentral describes it as "sequence contains ITS2". Lineage: Eukaryota; Fungi. The record is from RNAcentral.
AACGCAUAUUGCGCCCUUUGGCAUUCCGGAGGGCAUGCCUGUUCGAGCGUCAUUACGUCCCUCAAACCGCACGGUUUGACGUUGGGCGCCGCCCGUGAGGGCGCGCCUCAAAGCGAGCGACGGUGCCCGCCAACCGCAGACGUACCAAGAUCGUCAUGGGCGCGGUGGGGGCCGGUCAACCAUGGAUAGCUUCUGAAUGUUGACCUCGGAUCAGGCAGGAAUACCCGCUGAACUUAA